Long non-coding RNA from Anguilla anguilla (European eel), 939 nucleotides. RefSeq lists it as uncharacterized. The transcript has 3 exons. The record is from RefSeq and is a predicted model, not a curated record. NCBI's taxonomy places the organism in Eukaryota, Metazoa, Chordata, Actinopteri, Anguilliformes, Anguillidae.
CAACCAGGAAACACACAUGCACAAGAAGGACCGUCUCUGCACCUGAGAAAGCCAGACAUCCUGUUACCAUGGCUACUGAAGAACCACAGAACAAAACACAGGGAGACCCCACGAUCGAAGCAGGCGACAUUCAUUACGCUUCUCUGGGCCGUCAGAACUAGAGAGAGAGGCCGCACACUCAGGGCGAGAGACACCAUGUGAUCUACUCCACUGUGGCUGGAGGGCCAGUUUAGGUCAUGGUCAGAGGAGGACAGCACUACGUCCUCACAAAACAAUAACAAUGUCCUCACAAAACAAUAACAACGUCCUCACAAAACAGUAACAAUGUCCUCACAAAACAAUAACAACGUCCUCACAAAACGAUAACAAUGUCCUCACAAAACAAUAACAAUGUCCUCACAAAACGAUAACAAUGUCCUCACAAAACAAUAACAAUGUCCUCACAAAACAAUAAAAAUGUCUUCACAAAACAAUAACAACUUCCUUAUCACACUGGAAUAAACUAUUCCUCAGACUGCACUGGUCAUGUAAUGGAGUAUUUAAAAGUAUUUUACUUUUUAGAUAGCACAACGCCCUCACAAAACAAGACAAACACUGAAAUAAACCAUUCCUAAGACUGCACAGUUCAUGUAACUGAGUAUUUAAAAGUAAUUCAGUUUAGAUGAUGGUUGACUUGUAUGACACUCCUGUGGCUUUUUGAGAAUUUUCAGUGAAGCAUGCUACUGGCCAAGAAGUGUUUCAAAACAAGCAUUUGCUUUAAGACUGCUUCAUUCUCAUAAUCUUAGCUAAGUAUUCAUUUGAAGAUGUACUAAUCACAGAGGUGAAGCUGUGCUCAGUAUAGGAUGAAUAAAAUCAAACGGUUUGAAAUGUAAUACGGACAUAAAAAACAGUGUUGGACCUACAUACCUGUAAUGACAUUGGUUUGUAGCCAGAGGAACA